This 73-nucleotide transfer RNA is filed under the name Thiomicrospira sp. WB1. It matches the Rfam family "tRNA". Rfam says of the family: Transfer RNA (tRNA) molecules are approximately 80 nucleotides in length. The record is from Rfam by way of RNAcentral. Lineage: Bacteria; Pseudomonadati; Pseudomonadota; Gammaproteobacteria; Thiotrichales; Piscirickettsiaceae.
GUGCCAUUCGAUUAACAGGAUAAAUCCCGGGCCUCCUAAGCCCGAGCUGCUGGUUCGAGUCCAGCAUGGCACA